Molecule: ribosomal RNA, 1009 nt
Filed under: Xylolentia aseptata
Lineage: Eukaryota; Fungi; Ascomycota; Sordariomycetes; Rhamphoriaceae
Description: SSU rRNA
Rfam family: Eukaryotic small subunit ribosomal RNA
Source: RNAcentral
GCUCAUUAAAUCAGUUAUCGUUUAUUUGAUAGUACCUUACUACUUGGAUAACCGUGGUAAUUCUAGAGCUAAUACAUGCUAAAAAUCCCGACUUCGGAAGGGAUGUAUUUAUUAGAUUAAAAACCAAUGCCCUCUGGGCUCACUGGUGAUUCAUAAUAACUUCUCGAAUCGCACGGCCUUGCGCCGGCGAUGGUUCAUUCAAAUUUCUGCCCUAUCAACUUUCGACGGCUGGGUCUUGGCCAGCCAUGGUGACAACGGGUAACGGAGGGUUAGGGCUCGACCCCGGAGAAGGAGCCUGAGAAACGGCUACUACAUCCAAGGAAGGCAGCAGGCGCGCAAAUUACCCAAUCCCGAUUCGGGGAGGUAGUGACAAUAAAUACUGAUACAGGGCUCUUUUGGGUCUUGUAAUUGGAAUGAGUACAAUUUAAAUCCCUUAACGAGGAACAAUUGGAGGGCAAGUCUGGUGCCAGCAGCCGCGGUAAUUCCAGCUCCAAUAGCGUAUAUUAAAGUUGUUGCGGUUAAAAAGCUCGUAGUUGAAACUUGGGCCUAGCUGGCCGGUCCGCCUCACCGCGUGCACUGGUCCGGCCGGGCCUUUCCCUCUGGGGAACCGCAUGCCCUUCACUGGGCGUGUCGGGGAACCAGGACUUUUACUUUGAAAAAAUUAGAGUGUUCAAAGCAGGCCUAUGCUCGAAUACAUUAGCAUGGAAUAAUAGAAUAGGACGUUGCGGUUCUAUUUUGUUGGUUUCUAGGACCGCCGUAAUGAUUAAUAGGGACAGUCGGGGGCAUCAGUAUUCAAUUGUCAGAGGUGAAAUUCUUGGAUUUAUUGAAGACUAACUACUGCGAAAGCAUUUGCCAAGGAUGUUUUCAUUAAUCAGGAACGAAAGUUAGGGGAUCGAAGACGAUCAGAUACCGUCGUAGUCUUAACCAUAAACUAUGCGAACUAGGGAUCGGACGAUGUUAUUUUUUGACUCGUUCGGCACCUUACACGAAAGUACAAGUUUCUGCGUCC